GACGAACGCUGGCGGCGUGCCUAAUACAUGCAAGUCGAGCGGACCGGAUUGGGGCUUGCCUUGAUUCGGUCAGCGGCGGACGGGUGAGUAACACGUGGGCAACCUGCCCGCAAGACCGGGAUAACUCCGGGAAACCGGAGCUAAUACCGGAUAACACCGAAGACCGCAUGGUCUUCGGUUGAAAGGCGGCCUUUGGGCUGUCACUUGCGGAUGGGCCCGCGGCGCAUUAGCUAGUUGGUGAGGUAACGGCUCACCAAGGCGACGAGGCGUAGCCGGCCUGAGGGGGGGACCGGCCACACUGGGACUGAGCCACGGCCCAGACUCCUACGGGAGGCAGCAGUUGGGCAUCAUCCGCGAUGGGCGAAAGCCUGACGGGGCGAGGCCGCGUGAGCGAAGAAGGCCUUCGGGUCGUAAAGCUCUGUUGUGAGGGACGAAGGAGCGUCGUUCGAAGAGGGCGGCGCGGUGACGGUACCUCACGAGAAAGCCCCGGCUAACUACGUGCCAGCCGCCGCAGUAA
This 517-nucleotide ribosomal RNA is filed under the name uncultured bacterium. RNAcentral describes it as "partial 16S ribosomal RNA". It matches the Rfam family "Bacterial small subunit ribosomal RNA", at positions 28 to 523 of the family's 1533-position model. The record is from RNAcentral.